RNAcentral lists this ribosomal RNA (478 nucleotides) under uncultured bacterium. RNAcentral describes it as "bacterial SSU rRNA". It matches the Rfam family "Bacterial small subunit ribosomal RNA", at positions 33 to 507 of the family's 1533-position model. The record is from RNAcentral.
ACGCUGGCGGCAUGCUUAACACAUGCAAGUCGAACGAGAAUCUGCGGAUCGAGGAUUCGUCCAAGUGAAGCAGAGGACAGUGGCGGACGGGUGAGUAACGCGUGGGGAACCUGUCUCACACAGGGGGAUAACGCACCGAAAGGUGUGCUAAUACCGCAUAAGACCACGGUACCGCAUGGUACAGGGGUCAAAGGAGCAAUCCGGUGUGAGGUGGCCUCGCGUCUGAUUAGGUAGUUGGUGAGGUAACGGCCCACCAAGCCGACGAUCAGUAGCCGACCUGAGAGGGUGAUCGGCCACAUUGGAACCGAGACACGGUCCAAACUCCUACGGGAGGCAGCAGUGGGGAAUAUUGGGCAAUGGGCGAAAGCCUGACCCAGCGACGCCGCGUGAAGGAAGAAGGUCUUCGGAUUGUAAACUUUUGUCAGCAGGGAAGAAGAAAGUGACGGUACCUGCUAAGAAAGCCACGGCUAACUACGUG